This 2497-nucleotide long non-coding RNA is filed under the name Olea europaea subsp. europaea. The record is from RNAcentral. Lineage: Eukaryota; Viridiplantae; Streptophyta; Magnoliopsida; Lamiales; Oleaceae.
GGCAAAUAACUUUCAUUCCCUCUCAAUUUCUCUCGAUCUCUCUCUCAAUAUCGAGAACCAGCCCUCAAUUGUUUGAUCUGGAAACCGUCUUCUCCAUUAUUUCAAGGUAAUUGUGUGCUGUUUUUAUAAAAUUUCAUUGGAGUUGCAUAUUUCCUCAUGCCUUUUUUUUUUUUGUCCGAUUUCACUCCACCUUGUCGGAGGACGGCAUCUUAGGUAUAGUGGAGGAUGACGAGUCGAUGUCUAAGUUAACUUUUGCCAUCAGAUUUUUGCCAUUUUUGUCAUCAUUCACCAUCGAUUCUGUUCGUAUAUAUAUCAUUCACCACCAAUGAAUUUCCGUAUAUAUAUCACUUACGAAAACAUAAGUUUGAAUGUUGUGAUAAGUUAUUUUAGUGGGUAAAUGUAGUGAUAAGUUAUUUUAAUCUCGUGAUUUAUUUUGAUGCAGAUAUUUGGUGCACUCAAUUUAAUGAAAUUUAAUCAAAAUUAAGGAAGAAGAUAAGUGGAUAAUGUCUAUAUAUCAUAUAUAAUCUUUCUUACCAAAAUUCUAACAUUAUAUUAUGCAUUCUGGAUAGAUUAAUUUAGAAAAUGAACAAUAAUAUUACAUUUUCAUGCAUCACGUAGUCAUUUUUCAAUUUGUAAGAGCUUUUCUUAAUGCGUUGGUUCAACCUGUGUGAUGCAUACAUUAUAUGGUUAGUGAUAAUUAAAUAUUAUAAUCGUAGCUAAAUUACAAUUGUUGCAUUGCACUCUUGUCAUCUCUAUUCUUAAUUCAUAACCCUCUCAGUAACUAUGUGCCCAAUUAGUGCACCUCCUUUUUUAUUUGGAAUUUUUCUCAUUUCCUGGGAAAGGAAAUAGUAACAUUUCAAGAAUAUACGCUUAAUUAAUAAAUUACAACGCUUUCCUAAUUUUGAAGAAAAAAACUCGAUAAAAUCAUUCAAGGACCAGCCAGUUAACCAACAAAAUCAAGUAGUUUGUUAACCAGCGAAAUUGGCGAGUUCACAAUGAAAAUUAGUUAGUUACAAAACUGGCCGGUACACCCCCAGAACUGGUCAUUACAGUUGGAUACCACCUAAUUUUGUUGGGGCAGGCUUAAUUUUGUACCAGAAUUCAGUCUAAAGAUGUACACCUAGAGUUGAGUUACCAGGCAUUUGAUCAAACUGAGAAUUCGUAAUAAAGUGUAAAGAUUUUUUUCUGCUAUACUUUCUUGUCAAUGUUUUAAAAACCGACCCCCCAACCAAAAAUAAGUUAGGGAUGAAUCUUGAGUCUGGUGGUGGUCGUAGAUGUGAGUUAGGGAUGAAUCUUGAGUCUCCGUCGAGUUGCCUCCAAAAAAAUCCUCAAGUUUAGGCUGUGGCUGCAUGUUUUGGUGCAUAUAUGGGUCCAUGUAGCUAGUGAAAUUGAUGGAGUUGUUUUCUUUCAGUUUAAAGCUUAUAUUAGGUAAUUUUAGCUCAUUAAUGUAUUUCCUCAUAUCAGAAUAAAAUAAAAGCAUAUUCAGAGACGAUUUCCUCUCCAAGCAAACACUCACUUGAAGGUGAUAGUGUUGCAAAAGUACUUGGUCCAGAACGUCCAGGACGGGUAAGAGGUCAUGGUUUCGGUGCGACUCCUUCAAAGUUGAAUGCUUUGGUGCACAAUCAUAACUUGCAAACUCAAGUUCAAGAGUUGAGGGAUGAAAUUAAAGAACUAAAAGCUUUGUUUCAAGUGAAGAGUAAAAGUGCUGAACAAGAAGAUAAUGUAAGUGGAAAUCUAGAAUCAAUGAAUGUUAUUUUAAAUUACAUAUAUUUUCUAUAUUCAAAAUAAUAAAUUGUACAACUGGAUAUUAAUUUUAUAGUCUAGAGACAGAAGCUUGAAUGGUUUAGAUAACCUUCAAAAUAAGAAGUGCAAAUUGUUAUCUUGGUUUAGGAAAGCUAAUAUUGUUGCAAAAGGUGAAAUUGCAUCAACAAAUUCAAAUGAUCUACUGCAUCAUGUACCCCUUGGUAAUGAAUGUUGGAGAGUUUGGGUUAAUGAAGUGAUCAAUAAUGUUAGCUUAUAUCGUCCCACGCGUGAGCUUUUUCUUCUAGAAGAUGCAUUAGGAAGUACAAUUGCAUGGCCAAGUAGGUAUAUCGAAGUGGAUUCGCUGUAAUCACAACGAAGGUAUGCUUAACUUCUUUUCUAUUUUAAUUCCAUUUCCCUUUAUGUUCGGUCUCUAUUGAAGAUUGUGUUGUUUAAUAUAUUUUUGAUUUGGAUGCUUAUUAAUUAUAUCCUUAUUAUUUUCGUGGUGUGCAGAGGAUCCAUAUUUUGUGGGGUAGCUAAAUUGUCGGUCAAAGAAGUGAACUUUGAUAGGUUUAAUAAUUUUUUGUUAUAUGACGGAACCUCAAUAUCCACGGGUUUAUUAGUUGAAUGGCGAUUGGCGCAUACAAUAGUAGUCGAAUAUUUUUUAAAAUUGUUUAGAUGAAUUUUACAUUGGCAUAUUGUAUUGAACCGUAGUCAAUAUUUCUUUUUAUCGAAAUAAUGGAAAACUUGAUUAUAU